Molecule: long non-coding RNA, 2445 nt
Filed under: Patiria miniata (bat star)
Lineage: Eukaryota; Metazoa; Echinodermata; Asteroidea; Valvatida; Asterinidae
Description: uncharacterized LOC119728297, transcript variant X2
Source: RNAcentral
UUUUUCCCAUUGUUGGGAGAGCACGUGCGGCUGUUUGCGCACGGAGAAGCAUUGUGCCGAAAUUGACGGGACGCCAUUUUGAAAGAUGCAGACGAAAAUUGCUGCCGAAGUUUGUUCUUGAAGACUUUUGAAUGACUCCUUCAGCUUCCUCAAUUUUCCAAGGAGAACGAUAACGUGAAAGUGGUGGGAAUCCGAGAAAUGAAAAUGUUCACCAAUAUUUUCUUGGUACGUUAAAAAUCUGUAGACCUGCAUAUUGCCUACUGAUGUAGUUUCCCCAAGUUCCGUGGGACCUCCAACUGCAGAGAGCCCUACUAUAGCUGCUGUCUGCAUCUUGCCUAUACUGAUAAUGCCUCCAACGUUCCAUGGUUUUGGACCUCGAACUACACAAAGCAGCACUGUAGCAGUGUUUGUUUCCUCCCAACAUGUGCUGAGAUUGUGCAACUUCUGCACGAGAUGCUAAGGCCAGGAAGCUAUACAGACGCUACUCUCGAUGUCUGGAUCUGAUGCCAACCUGUCGGACUCUCCUCAUGAAGAUUGGAUGGAGUCGUCUUAGGGAAAGGGCAAAUCCAUGGCAGAAACACAUUAUUGGCUUGAAUUAAUGCCAUCUCAAACCUGAAAAUAUUGGUUGAUAAAGCAUUCUGAAGUACCGAUAAGUUUGAAAGUCUUCGUAGUUUAAAAGGAAGAAAUCUUGGAAUUGGUAUUGCAGGAUUCUGCAAGGUGCUUUAUCUGGCAUCAACAAUCUCAAACAAGUGAAACUCUUUGCUAUGGAUUUGCCCUGUGAACUCAAAUAUUAAAUUCUAGAACCAGGCACAUGUCAGAUUUAGAAAAGCCAUUAAAUUACAUGUCAUAUUAAAUAAAAAUAAAGGUUUCAUCUCAAAUGUGCUCAAGAUUUGUAGCACUUAUGAAAGGCUUUUGCCAAAACCACAUGUGUACUCAAAGUUUUAUAAAACAAAUUCACAAUUUGAACUUAGUCGUUUAGAAAAAAGUUAUGUUAUUAAAAAUGGUUUCAAGCUGAAUGCAAAGUCAAUUCUUAGCAAGAUUUUGAGUUGAAACAAAAUAAUUCAGUCUUUGUGGUUUGUUGUGAAACCUUCUUAGGUUGGAAAUUCAAACAGCCAGUCGAUAAAAUGUCCUUCGAAUCGGAAAAUAAAUUGGUCACAAAUGAUUUGUUGGUUCUUUAAUUUUAGAUUCCAGUUUCACUAAGUUCUUUGUUUUGGCUAAUGUUGACAUGUGCCUGGUUCAUUUGGUUCUAGAGACAAAUAACUACAGUACUUAGCACAUCAUAGGAAUGAUUCAGUCAGUUGUAUUCUAUAUGAUGGAAAAUAGCUGAAAUUAGCCAGUAUCCUUGCAGUUGUGUGUAAUAUGCAGUAAUUUCCAAUACUGCUUUAAAAAAACGAACUAUGUGAAUGUGAUUACAUGUGUAAUCACAGAAUUUAUAAUAUCAGGUUUUUUAAAUAGUUCUCUGCCCAUGCUGUUUUAGAGUUUCAGUCUAAAAAUAGAGCUUGUUUGUAAAUUGCUAUAUUUCUAGCAGUACAGCUAUUCAACUUUAAAUGGGACAAGAAAAAAACAUACCCAAAGUUUAGUUUUGGCUUUUUUACUUUACAAAUUUCCAAUUGUUCGCAGCCCGACAGACGGACAUCAUUCAGGGGUAUCUUUCUGUUACGGAUGAAGUAACGCCCAAAAUUAAAGCAUAUUUUCAGAAGUUUAAAAUGUCUGAAAUUGAAAAAAGGUACAUUUUCUGUUUAAAUAAAACUAACACAUUGAAAUUUAAUUCACUGAAAACAAAUUAGCUGUUGAAGAGCAUGGGUAGAGCAACUUUAAAUCCCAAGUAAUUCAAAUUGUUUUAUUUGUUACAAAGUGAGUACAUCCUGAUCCAAAUAUUUAGAAAGUGUGGCGAUACUGGCUGAUAAAUUACAGAGAAUCAUUCCUAUGAUGUGCUUUAUAUGUAUUUUGUUUAUUUUUGAAUGAAUAAAACAAAUGUUUGUUGUCUUUUUGUGGAGUGUAUUUAUUUUAGAAGUAUGUGUCUUAAUUAGCCGACUUUUUGCAGCAAAGUUUAAUGUGAUUAACAGGCACAGUUCCCAAAACAAACACAAUCUCCAAAUUCAUCAAAGUCGAUGUUAUAAAUUAUCUAAAUCAAAACUGUUUAAUUUAUUGCGAAUACACAUGUAUUUGUGGGAAAAGUACUGCAUUUUAGGUACGCGGGGAUUAAGUUCUGCCACUAUUGGAACAUGUGCCUGUUUUAAGUGUUAAACUUUGCUGCAUUAUCUCUUCUAACACUAAUUUCAACUUUAAGGCUACAACAAUGAGGGCGCUCUUAUAUAAGAAACUAACAGUUAUACUUUUUUUUUAAGAUUGAGGGCGCUCUUUAGUAAAUAAACCUAAAAUCCCUUAAGUUUAAUAAGAUAGAGGGCGCUCUUUUGUAAAUUAAACCAAAAAAUUGUUUGAAUU